ACAAUGGGGUGGUUCCAUGGCCCAGAAGCACUCUAGCUACAGAUUAGAAUGAUGACAAGAGUAAUACCUUCCUAGUGAAGAUGACUUUUAUUUCAGGACUAUAUUAAGUUUCCCAACUUCUGUCAUGAUAUAGUCCAAAGAGAACCUGGACCACGCAGACAUCAAACAGAACAUGACACUGACCCAUUCUAUCAGUGACGUUGUGCUGAUUGCACAGGACAGAUGAGAGGCUCGUAUACUAGAAGUCUUGUUAUCCACAGAAGGAAUGAUCUGCAAUGUACACACGCCAGGACAGAAAUUCUACAGUUGCUGAUAAAAUGUAAACCUGUAAGUACUGAAUAAGAAUUAUGCCCAAUAAAAAGUCAUGGCUAGGGAGUAAAAGAUGGAGUGUUGACAGGGAAGUAGAACAAUAAAUGGGGUAAUCAGGAAAGGCUGAUUACCUUUCCUGAUGGGGAAGGGUGAGACCCCUAAUCUAGUCCAGUCUCCCAUUUUACAAAUAAAGAGACUGAGCUCCACAAGGUUAAGCUACUGGUCCAGAAUCCCAUAGCUCACAAGUGAUGAGCUGCCUCCUUCACCCCUCAGCUCCCUCUGUGUUCCACUCUGGGCUGCCCACUCACAUUUUGUCCAGUGGCAGCCUCGCCUCUGCAUUUGUCUUUUGUUGGCCUUGAGCUUUACCAUGAUGACUAGGCCUGGAAAAGGGUGAAAACAAAUAGCACAUUCUCCUAAGCACUCUCCACACUGCACAAUAUCAGCUGUCCUAAGAAGAUUUUGAAUAUGGGUUGAAAAUAUUGUUUGUUUUGUUUUAAAUCUUGGAAAAAAUUCUAGUUGCAUGAAAUUUUUUUCUCCAGAAUUAAUCAUGAGUAGCAUAUUCUUCAGCCUUGUUAAUUGGCAAAGCAGAAAACAAAAUAGCCACUGAAGGGCUCCUUUGUUUGGACUUGGAGACCAGUGACAUUGCUCACCCUUCCCACUGAGCAGCCUGCAGAUAUUGGUCUCUCUGGAGAGCACUGAGGACCCGGGGUGGCAGGACUCGCUGAGUAAGCCCUUCCCCAUACUAAACUUGGUUUCAAGGAGACAAUUCCUCUAACUGUUCUUGAGCUUUCUCGUCUCAUAUAAUCUCAACAAGUUCUUCCAAUUUCUGUUUUUAAACCAAAAAGAAAAAGAACAGCACAUUCCUUUUAUGUUUGUGCAAAUGAAGGGGAGGCAAGUUGCUGGGGAAAAUCUAGCAAAUGUCUUUUGAUAUGUAAUUUGAAUGAUUUCCUACUGAAGUCCUGAAAUAUGAAUUAAAAUCAUGUAUUCACUUUUGUCU
This is a long non-coding RNA of Homo sapiens (human), 1306 nucleotides long. The record is from Ensembl. NCBI's taxonomy places the organism in Eukaryota, Metazoa, Chordata, Mammalia, Primates, Hominidae.